This 495-nucleotide ribosomal RNA is filed under the name uncultured beta proteobacterium. RNAcentral's name for it is "bacterial SSU rRNA". It matches the Rfam family "Bacterial small subunit ribosomal RNA", at positions 9 to 524 of the family's 1533-position model. RNAcentral also lists the same sequence under 1 other name. Lineage: Bacteria; Pseudomonadati; Pseudomonadota; Betaproteobacteria. The record is from RNAcentral.
GAGUUUGAUCGUGGCUCAGGAUGAACGCUAGCGGCAGGCUUAAUACAUGCAAGUCGAACGGCAGCGCGGGAGCAAUCCUGGCGGCGAGUGGCGAACGGGUGAGUAAUACAUCGGAACGUGCCCAAUCGUGGGGGAUAACGCAGCGAAAGCUGUGCUAAUACCGCAUACGACCUACGGAUGAAAGCAGGGGACCGCAAGGCCUUGCGCGAAUGGAGCGGCCGAUGGCAGAUUAGGUAGUUGGUGGGGUAAAGGCUCACCAAGCCGACGAUCUGUAGCUGGUCUGAGAGGACGACCAGCCACACUGGGACUGAGACACGGCCCAGACUCCUACGGGAGGCAGCAGUGGGGAAUUUUGGACAAUGGGCGCAAGCCUGAUCCAGCCAUGCCGCGUGGAUGAUGAAGGCCCUAGGGUUGUAAAAUCCUUUCGUUGGGGACGAUAAUGGCGGUACCCAAAGAAGAAGCUCCGGCUAACUUCGUGCCAGCCGCCGCAGUAAU